This 290-nucleotide unclassified non-coding RNA is filed under the name fungal sp. RNAcentral describes it as "partial internal transcribed spacer region". The stretch from base 1 to 46 matches the Rfam family "Eukaryotic small subunit ribosomal RNA", at positions 1786 to 1831 of the family's 1831-position model. Lineage: Eukaryota; Fungi. The record is from RNAcentral.
AAGUCGUAACAAGGUUUCCGUAGGUGAACCUGCGGAAGGAUCAUUAACAAAUCUCUAAAACACACUGUUCUUCUUCUCUUCUCCUUCACAAGAGGAGGAGUGAAGAAGGCAGUAACAUCCUAACCUGUGAAUCGGCAGUAUCACUCUGUGUUACUGUUUGCGUUUUGGUGUUGGGUUGCCGCGCUUGUCGUCGCAGCUUCAGCCAAAUGCACAAAAUUAACGUCUAUGAUAUUGUCUUAGCAUUUUGCAAAAAACAAAAACAACUUUUAGCAAUGGAUCUCUUGGCUUCU